UUCUAUCAUCCCGUUUCCUGCUUUGAUCGAGCAAAUGGCGACGAAUUCAAAACGAUGAGGCCGUGGGAAAUUCGAUUGAAAGGAACACGAAUCGAUCAUAAGGGGAAAAACGCAGAGGCAACAACAAAACGAAAUCGGAGGCAUAGUGGAUUUGGGGUUUCGGUCGUAGUGUGGUCGGGGAGAAUCACGAAGGAAUACACGAACAAGAGCUUGUAAGGGGCGAGGUUUUCAAUCUCCGAUGAGCAACUAGACUGAAGAACAAGGGAGAAGCAGCGAGAUGGGGCUGUUGCUCCGAUCGAAGCAGGUCAGGAGGUGGAGAGGUGCACCGUGGAUGGGUGCGAGAGCUGGUUCGUUUGAAGCAACAACAACCCCAGGAGGGUGUUCGACGGUGUUUGUUGAUGGGGGAAGGGGCAAAGGAGGGCAUCGAUCUCCAGUGGGCUCCCUUGGUGCGUUUGGUUCGUCUCUGGCAGUCUCAUUCGAGGAAGGAGUCUUCGGUUUCAUCUGUCCGAAAAAUGAACGGACCAAAUCAAAUCGACGGGGCAUGGCAGCUCUAGUCAGCAGGAAGACUAAGGAGGCGAUGGAGGAAGUUGAUGCCCGAUGGCUUCUGGGUUUCUCUUCUCCUGGUCCGAUCAAAAGCAAACGCGAAGGAAAUGGGAAACGUCUGGAUUGAAGAGCAAGGACGAAACAGCCCUUUGUGCCUUCAGAAUUUGGAAAGGCGGGUCGGGUUGCUUGAUCAUUUCAUGGUUGCAGAUCGAGAUCACGAUUAAGAUGGAAGUGAAAUUACUUAUUCGGGUUGCUUAGAAGACAAUGAUGAUGAUUUAAUCAGGAAUUCUUACUCGCUUACACCCGUGACGAUGGUGGCUAAUCUCAUCGACAACUAUCUUGCUGAGGUGGCAUCCGAUGUUAACUUAAAGCUCAAAAAGUUUCAAUCUUUGGUUGCUACUGUCACUGAUUUUGCAAGGUCAAUCGAUGAAGGAAUAUCUCAAGGCACAUCCAUGGCUGAUAGAUUCCAAUUGGGAGCUGCUCUGUCGAUUGAUGGCCUAUCAGAAACUGUCACUAGAAGCCAGCACACACGCCGCACAGAAUGAGAGACUGCCGCUCCGUUUCAUAGUUCAGGGUUCUCUUCUUCGAGAAGCUCCAGCUGCAGACAUUUGUUGCCGGCUGCUUUUAUGUCUCUUAAAAUUACAACUCACAGACAUACCUGAGCAGCAUGUGCUGCCGGAAAGUGGGAACGUGCACCUUUUUCCCUUCGUUUGGAUUGCAAGCCCAAGAGAAGAACACGAAAGGAAGAAGUGAGAAGAAGAAAUUGAGAAAAAGAAUGAACGAGGUGCGUUUUAGAGGCCUUGCAAUGGCGAAAGGACAAAAAUGCCCCUGGUAUGGGAGUUACUAACACCUAAACAGACGGAAAAGUUAAAAGAAGGACUGGGCGGGUAACAAAUUAAAGUUUUGGGGACGGUCCGAGUUAAAAAAUCUUUCUAGGGACCAAGCGUGCAAGUGACCACAAACCAUAGGGACCAUUCGUGUAAUUUUCUCUUUUUUUUAUUGUUCUGGAUCAAGAUUGAUUGGGCAAGAAGUUGAUAGAAAAAGAAAAUAUAUGUUUGGGUUUUGGUUGUUUGGCAGAAGUUACCCUGAUCAAUAGAGAAGGAAUGAGAGAAAGGGUGGGUUGUGGAGGUUGCGCAGUGGCCUUACAGUCGGUGGUUCUCAGGAAGCGAUAUGAAGAAGAACGGAGAUGGUAGCAGUGAAUCAACAAACAGGUAAAGAGGUUUUUUUUUGUUUUUGAUAAAUGUCGAUGUUGUAUUUGGGAUGUGUGUUUGUUGAUUGAGAUUGACAGGAAGAAUAUGAAGAAGAAUUGUGUAUGGGUUCAUUGACUGGGUACAAGGAAGGAAAAGGGAAGGAGUGAAGCAACGUCCAUCUCCAGCGACCAGCAAGAAGAGAAGGAACCGCUAGGGAACAGUGGUGUGAAGGAGUGCAUGCUUCAGUUAAGAAGUGAAAAAGAAACACGUUUCAGCUGGCUGUCCUUUUAUUUGUUUAUUUAUUUACUUAUUUAUUUAUUUGUAUUUAUGUAUAUGUAUGUAUCUGAUUUGUAUUAUGUAUUUGUUUUAUUAUGUAAUGCAUGUAUAAGUUGUAAUUAAUAAAUUUCUAUAUGUAUCACUACUAGAAA
This is a long non-coding RNA of Lactuca sativa (garden lettuce), 2161 nucleotides long. RefSeq lists it as uncharacterized. NCBI's taxonomy places the organism in Eukaryota, Viridiplantae, Streptophyta, Magnoliopsida, Asterales, Asteraceae. The record is from RefSeq and is a predicted model, not a curated record.